RNAcentral lists this small RNA (396 nucleotides) under Histoplasma capsulatum. Its description in RNAcentral is "hypothetical RNA". RNAcentral also lists the same sequence under 1 other name. The record is from RNAcentral. Lineage: Eukaryota; Fungi; Ascomycota; Eurotiomycetes; Onygenales; Ajellomycetaceae.
UGAUGCACCGAGUCUGUACGUAUGCAGUCUGGAUGUACUGCACAUACUGACAUGAACGCGGGUGUUAUCUGUCCUCGUCGAGUCACAGCCCUCUCCGGCAGAGAACCUGGCAAUGGGUGAUACAGGCCAUAACCUGGAAGUAUAUAUACUUAUAUGUGUGUGUGUCAUGAUCGUCCUUGAGUCCCCGCCACCGUGCCUGGAUGGCUGGAUGGCUGGCAUUGGCGCUGCUUAGCGGGCGAUCAUCGGGCUGCAGUAGCCGCAUACAGGGAACGACGGGUCCUGCGUGGAGUGUUGUGGAGCUCUGUGGAGCGGAAACCUCGUUUCAGAUUGAAUCUGAUCCGCCCGUCGAUGCCAGGGGGGUGUGUGGAGGGGGAUGGAUUCUGUGUGAACUGAGCA